Molecule: ribosomal RNA, 1075 nt
Filed under: uncultured bacterium
Lineage: Bacteria
Description: bacterial SSU rRNA
Rfam family: Bacterial small subunit ribosomal RNA
Source: RNAcentral
CCCAAGCUUGCUUGGGUACUCGAGUGGCGAACGGGUGAGUAACACGUGGGUGAUCUGCCCUGCACUUCGGGAUAAGCCUGGGAAACUGGGUCUAAUACCGGAUAGGACGAUGGUUUGGAUGCCAUUGUGGAAAGUUUUUCGGUGUGGGAUGAGCUCGCGGCCUAUCAGCUUGUUGGUGGGGUAAUGGCCUACCAAGGCGUCGACGGGUAGCCGGCCUGAGAGGGUGUACGGCCACAUUGGGACUGAGAUACGGCCCAGACUCCUACGGGAGGCAGCAGUGGGGAAUAUUGCACAAUGGGCGCAAGCCUGAUGCAGCGACGCCGCGUGGGGGAUGACGGCCUUCGGGUUGUAAACUCCUUUCGCUAGGGACGAAGCGUUUUUGUGACGGUACCUGGAGAAGAAGCACCGGCUAACUACGUGCCAGCAGCCGCGGUAAUACGUAGGGUGCGAGCGUUGUCCGGAAUUACUGGGCGUAAAGAGCUCGUAGGUGGUUUGUCGCGUCGUUUGUGUAAGCCCGCAGCUUAACUGCGGGACUGCAGGCGAUACGGGCAUAACUUGAGUGCUGUAGGGGAGACUGGAAUUCCUGGUGUAGCGGUGGAAUGCGCAGAUAUCAGGAGGAACACCGAUGGCGAAGGCAGGUCUCUGGGCAGUAACUGACGCUGAGGAGCGAAAGCAUGGGUAGCGAACAGGAUUAGAUACCCUGGUAGUCCAUGCCGUAAACGGUGGGCGCUAGGUGUGAGUCCCUUCCACGGGGUUCGUGCCGUAGCUAACGCAUUAAGCGCCCCGCCUGGGGAGUACGGCCGCAAGGCUAAAACUCAAAGGAAUUGACGGGGGCCCGCACAAGCGGCGGAGCAUGUGGAUUAAUUCGAUGCAACACGAAGAACCUUACCUGGGCUUGACAUACACCAGAUCGGGCCAGAGAUGGUCUUUCCCUUUGUGGUUGGUGUACAGGUGGUGCAUGGUUGUCGUCAGCUCGUGUCGUGAGAUGUUGGGUUAAGUCCCGCAACGAGCGCAACCCUUGUCUUAUGUUGCCAGCAAUUCGGUUGGGGACUCGUGAGAGACUGCCGGGGUUAAC